RNAcentral lists this ribosomal RNA (500 nucleotides) under uncultured Glomeromycotina. RNAcentral describes it as "partial small subunit ribosomal RNA". It matches the Rfam family "Eukaryotic small subunit ribosomal RNA", at positions 591 to 1092 of the family's 1831-position model. The record is from RNAcentral. Lineage: Eukaryota; Fungi; Glomeromycota.
CCAAUAGCGUAUAUUAAAGUUGUUGCAGUUAAAAAGCUCGUAGUUGAAUUUCGGGGCCAGUAAGUUGGUCGUGCCACUGGUAUGUACUGGCUUUACUGGUCUCUCCUUCUUGAAGAACCGUGAUGCCAUUAAUUUGGUGCUGCGGGGAAACAGGACUGUUACUUUGAAAAAAUUAGAGUGCUUAAAGCAGGCUUACGCUUGAAUACAUUAGCAUGGAAUAACGAAAUAGGACGCUCGAUUCUAUUUUGUUGGUUUCUAGGAUCGACGUAAUGAUUAAUAGGGAUAGUUGGGGGCAUUAGUAUUCAAUUGUCAGAGGUGAAAUUCUUGGAUUUAUUGAAGACUAACUACUGCGAAAGCAUUUGCCAAGGAUGUUUUCAUUAAUCAAGAACGAAAGUUAGGGGAUCGAAGACGAUCAGAUACCGUCGUAGUCUUAACCAUAAACUAUGCCGACUAGGGAUCGGAUGAAGUUAAUUUUUUAAUGACUCAUUCGGCGCCUUACG